This 491-nucleotide ribosomal RNA is filed under the name uncultured bacterium. RNAcentral's name for it is "partial 16S ribosomal RNA". It matches the Rfam family "Bacterial small subunit ribosomal RNA", at positions 29 to 507 of the family's 1533-position model. The record is from RNAcentral.
AGUGAACGCUGGCGGUAGGCCUAACACAUGCAAGUCGAACGGCAGCACAGUAAGAGCUUGCUCUUACGGGUGGCGAGUGGCGGACGGGUGAGGAAUACAUCGGAAUCUACUUUUUCGUGGGGGAUAACGUAGGGAAACUUACGCUAAUACCGCAUACGACCUACGGGUGAAAGCAGGGGAUCUUCGGACCUUGCGCGAUUGAAUGAGCCGAUGUCGGAUUAGCUAGUUGGCGGGGUAAAGGCCCACCAAGGCGACGAUCCGUAGCUGGUCUGAGAGGAUGAUCGGCCACACUGAAACUGAGCAACGGUCCAGACACCUAGGGAAGGCAGAAGUGGGAAAAAUGGACAAUGGGCGCAAGCCUGAUCCAGCCAUACCGCGUGGGUGAAGAAGGCCUUCGGGUUGUAAAGCCCUUUUGUUGGGAAAGAAAAGCAGCAGGUUAAUACCCCGCUGUUCUGACGGUACCCAAAGAAUAAGCACCGGCUAACUUCGUG